RNAcentral lists this ribosomal RNA (390 nucleotides) under uncultured Actinomycetes bacterium. RNAcentral describes it as "bacterial SSU rRNA". It matches the Rfam family "Bacterial small subunit ribosomal RNA", at positions 9 to 404 of the family's 1533-position model. The record is from RNAcentral. Lineage: Bacteria; Bacillati; Actinomycetota; Actinomycetes.
GAGUUUGAUCAUGGCUCAGGACGAACGCUGGCGGCGUGCUUAACACAUGCAAGUCGAGCGGAAAGGCCCUUCGGGGUACUCGAGCGGCGAACGGGUGAGUAACACGUGGGCAACCUGCCCCUCGCUCUGGGAUAACUCCGGGAAACCGGGGCUAAUACCGGAUACGACCCUUUUAGGCAUCUUUGAGGGUGGAAAGUUUUUCGGCGAGGGAUGGGCCCGCGGCCUAUCAGCUUGUUGGUGGGGUAAUGGCCUACCAAGGCAGUGACGGGUAGCCGGCCUGAGAGGGCGACCGGCCACACUGGGACUGAGACACGGCCCAGACUCCUACGGGAGGCAGCAGUGGGGAAUAUUGCGCAAUGGGCGGAAGCCUGACGCAGCGACGCCGCGUGA